AGCUUGUUGGUGAGGUAAAAGCUCACCAAGGCGACGAUCUGUAGCGGGUCUGAGAGGAUGAUCCGCCACACUGGAACUGAGACACGGUCCAGACUCCUACGGGAGGCAGCAGUGGGGAAUUUUGGACAAUGGGGGCAACCCUGAUCCAGCCAUGCCGCGUGAGUGAAGAAGGCCUUCGGGUUGUAAAGCUCUUUCAGCCGGGAAGAAAACGCAUGGGUUAAUACCCUGUGUGGAUGACGGUACCGGAAUAAGAAGCACCGGCUAACUACGUGCCAGCAGCCGCGGUAAUACGUAGGGUGCGAGCGUUAAUCGGAAUUACUGGGCGUAAAGCGUGCGCAGGCGGUUUUGUAAGACAGGCGUGAAAUCCCCGGGCUUAACCUGGGAACUGCGUUUGUGACUGCAAGGCUAGAGUACGGCAGAGGGGGGUGGAAUUCCACGUGUAGCAGUGAAAUGCGUAGAGAUGUGGAGGAACACCAAUGGCGAAGGCAGCCCCCUGGGUCGAUACUGACGCUCAUGCACGAAAGCGUGGGUAGCAAACAGGAUUAGAUACCCUGGUAGUCCACGCCCUAAACGAUGUCAACUAGGUGUUGGGAGGGUAAGACCUUUUAGUACCGGAGCUAACGCGUGAAGUUGACCGCCUGGGGAGUACGGCCGCAAGGUUAAAACUCAAAGGAAUUGACGGGGACCCGCACAAGCGGUGGAUGAUGUGGAUUAAUUCGAUGCAACGCGAAAAACCUUACCUACCCUUGACAUGCCAAGAACUUUCCAGAGAUGGAUUGGUGCCCGAAAGGGAACUUGGACACAGGUGCUGCAUGGCUGUCGUCAGCUCGUGUCGUGAGAUGUUGGGUUAAGUCCCGCAACGAGCGCAACCCUUGUCGUUAAUUGCCAUCAUUUAGUUGGGCACUUUAACGAGACUGCCGGUGACAAACCGGAGGAAGGUGGGGAUGACGUCAAGUCCUCAUGGCCCUUAUGGGUAGGGCUUCACACGUCAUACAAUGGUCGGUACAAAGGGUCGCCAAGCCGCGAGGUGGAGCCAAUCCCAGAAAGCCGAUCGUAGUCCGGAUCGCAGUCUGCAACUCGACUGCGUGAAGUCGGAAUCGCUAGUAAUCGUGGAUCAGAAUGUCACGGUGAAUACGUUCCCGGGUCUUGUACACACCGCCCGUCACACCAUGGGAGCGGGUUCCGCCAGAAGUAGGUAGCCUAACCGCAAGGAGGGCGCUUACCACGGCGGGGUUCGUGACUGGGGUGAAGUCGUAACAAGGUAGCCGUAGGGGAACCUGCGGCUG
This 1286-nucleotide ribosomal RNA is filed under the name metagenome. Its description in RNAcentral is "bacterial SSU rRNA". It matches the Rfam family "Bacterial small subunit ribosomal RNA", at positions 243 to 1520 of the family's 1533-position model. The record is from RNAcentral.